CGGACGGGUGAGUAAUGUCUGGGAAACUGCCCGAUGGAGGGGGAUAACUACUGGAAACGGUAGCUAAUACCGCAUAACGUCGCAAGACCAAAGAGGGGGACCUUCGGGCCUCUUGCCAUCGGAUGUGCCCAGAUGGGAUUAGCUAGUAGGUGGGGUAACGGCUCACCUAGGCGACGAUCCCUAGCUGGUCUGAGAGGAUGCCAGCCACACUGGAACUGAGACACGGUCCAG
RNAcentral lists this ribosomal RNA (231 nucleotides) under uncultured bacterium. RNAcentral's name for it is "partial 16S ribosomal RNA". It matches the Rfam family "Bacterial small subunit ribosomal RNA", at positions 99 to 334 of the family's 1533-position model. The record is from RNAcentral.